RNAcentral lists this ribosomal RNA (653 nucleotides) under Enterobacter sp. RNAcentral's name for it is "bacterial SSU rRNA". It matches the Rfam family "Bacterial small subunit ribosomal RNA", at positions 53 to 697 of the family's 1533-position model. Lineage: Bacteria; Pseudomonadati; Pseudomonadota; Gammaproteobacteria; Enterobacterales; Enterobacteriaceae. The record is from RNAcentral.
ACUGCAAGUCGAACGGGUAGCACAGAGAGCUUGCUCUCGGGUGACGAGUGGCGGACGGGUGAGUAAUGUCUGGGAAACUGCCUGAUGGAGGGGGAUAACUACUGGAAACGGUAGCUAAUACCGCAUAACGUCGCAAGACCAAAGAGGGGGACCUUCGGGCCUCUUGCCAUCAGAUGUGCCCAGAUGGGAUUAGCUAGUAGGUGGGGUAACGGCUCACCUAGGCGACGAUCCCUAGCUGGUCUGAGAGGAUGACCAGCCACACUGGAACUGAGACACGGUCCAGACUCCUACGGGAGGCAGCAGUGGGGAAUAUUGCACAAUGGGCGCAAGCCUGAUGCAGCCAUGCCGCGUGUAUGAAGAAGGCCUUCGGGUUGUAAAGUACUUUCAGCGGGGAGGAAGGUGUUGUGGUUAAUAACCGCAGCAAUUGACGUUACCCGCAGAAGAAGCACCGGCUAACUCCGUGCCAGCAGCCGCGGUAAUACGGAGGGUGCAAGCGUUAAUCGGAAUUACUGGGCGUAAAGCGCACGCAGGCGGUCUGUCAAGUCGGAUGUGAAAUCCCCGGGCUCAACCUGGGAACUGCAUUCGAAACUGGCAGGCUAGAGUCUUGUAGAGGGGGGUAGAAUUCCAGGUGUAGCGGUGAAAUGCGUAGAAAA